Molecule: ribosomal RNA, 900 nt
Filed under: uncultured bacterium
Lineage: Bacteria
Description: bacterial SSU rRNA
Rfam family: Bacterial small subunit ribosomal RNA
Source: RNAcentral
AGAGUUUGAUCAUGGCUCAGGACGAACGCUGGCGGCGUGCCUAACACAUGCAAGUCGAGCGGAGAUAGUUUGAUGGUAACUGAUGACUAUCUUAGCGGCGGACGGGUGAGUAACACGUGGGCAACCUGCCUCGAAGUGGGGGAUAACACCGAGAAAUCGGUGCUAAUACCGCAUAACGUACGGAUCUCGCAUGAUAACCGUACCAAAGGAGCAAUCCGCUUUGAGAUGGGCCCGCGGCUGAUUAGCUAGUUGGUGAGGUAAUGGCUCACCAAGGCAACGAUCAGUAGCCGACCUGAGAGGGUGACCGGCCACACUGGAACUGAGACACGGUCCAGACUCCUACGGGAGGCAGCAGUGGGGAAUAUUGCGCAAUGGGGGAAACCCUGACGCAGCAACGCCGCGUGGAGGAAGAAGGUCUUCGGAUUGUAAACUCCUGUCUUCUGGGACGAUAAUGACGGUACCAGAGGAGGAAGCCACGGCUAACUACGUGCCAGCAGCCGCGGUAAUACGUAGGUGGCGAGCGUUGUCCGGAAUUACUGGGCGUAAAGGGCGCGUAGGCGGCUCUUUAAGUCAGAUGUGAAAACCCAGGGCUUAACUUUGGGACUGCAUUUGAAACUGAAGGGCUUGAGUGCAGGAGAGGUAAGUGGAAUUCCUAGUGUAGCGGUGAAAUGCGUAGAUAUUAGGAGGAACACCAGUGGCGAAGGCGACUUACUGGACUGUAACUGACGCUGAGGCGCGAAAGCGUGGGGAGCAAACAGGAUUAGAUACCCUGGUAGUCCACGCUGUAAACGAUGGAUACUAGGUGUGGGAGGUAUCGACCCCUUCCGUGCCGCAGUAAACGCAAUAAGUAUCCCGCCUGGGGAGUACGGCCGCAAGGUUGAAACUCAAAUGAAUUGACGG